This 1072-nucleotide ribosomal RNA is filed under the name Agalychnis terranova. RNAcentral's name for it is "partial 16S ribosomal RNA". It matches the Rfam family "Bacterial large subunit ribosomal RNA", at positions 840 to 2597 of the family's 2925-position model. The record is from RNAcentral. Lineage: Eukaryota; Metazoa; Chordata; Amphibia; Anura; Hylidae.
UAGUGAUAGCUGGUUACUUAAGAAACGGAUGUAAGUCCAACCUAAAAUUUUUAUAAUAACUUUAAAUAAGCACUAAAUUUUAGAUUUAUUCAAAUAAGGUACAGCCUAUUUGAAACAGGAUACAACCUACAUAAACGGGUAAUUAAAUUAUUCUAUUAUUAAGUGGGCCUAAAAGCAGCCAUCUUUCAAAAAGCGUCAAAGCUUAAUUAUUGUUAAACUAAAUUCUACUAAUUUUUUAAAACCCUUAAUUUUUAUUAAGUAAUUCUAUAAAACUAUAGAAGAUAUUAUGUUAAAACUAGUAACAAGAAUUAAUUAUUCUCUUAAAUAUAAGUGUAAAUCAGAACGGAUCUCCCACUGACUACUAACAUCUUUGACCAUAAAGUAAUAACUAAUCAAGAAAAAUUUACUUUAUAAUAUGUUAACCUAACACAAGAGUAUUACAAGACGAUUAAAAGAAAAAGAAGGAACUCGGCAAACAAUAACCUCGCCUGUUUACCAAAAACAUCGCCUCCUGGCCAAUCUAUAGGAGGUCCAGCCUGCCCAGUGACCAUGUUCAACGGCCGCGGUAUCCUAACCGUGCGAAGGUAGCGUAAUCACUUGUUCUUUAAAUGAGGACUAGUAUGAAUGGCAUCACGAAGGUUAUACUGUCUCCUUUUUCCAAUCAGUGAAACUAAUCUUCCCGUGAAGAAGCGGGAAUAAAACUAUAAGACGAGAAGACCCUAUGGAGCUUCAAACUCUCAACAACUAUCUUUUUUUAUAUAACUCUAAAGAAAAUAAUGAUUAUCUAGAUAGUAUGAUUGCCAGUUUUUGGUUGGGGUGACCACGGAGUAAAACACAACCUCCAAGAUGUAUAGGAUUCAUUCCUAAACAAAGAAUUACUAUUCAAAGUAUCAAAAAAUUGACAACAUUGACCCAAUAUUUUGAUCAACGAACCAAGUUACCCUAGGGAUAACAGCGCAAUCCAUCUAAAGAGUUCAUAUCGACAGAUGGGUUUACGACCUCGAUGUUGGAUCAGGGUAUCCCAGUGGUGCAGCCGCUACUAAAGGUUCGUUUGUUCAACGAUUCAAACCCU